GCGCCCAUAGCUCAACUGGAUAGAGUACUUGAUUACGAAUCAAGCGGUUAGAGGUUCGACUCCUCUUGGGCGCA
Molecule: transfer RNA, 74 nt
Filed under: Listeria welshimeri
Lineage: Bacteria; Bacillati; Bacillota; Bacilli; Caryophanales; Listeriaceae
Description: tRNA-Arg
Rfam family: tRNA
About the family: Transfer RNA (tRNA) molecules are approximately 80 nucleotides in length.
Source: RNAcentral